This is a long non-coding RNA of Ictalurus punctatus (channel catfish), 672 nucleotides long. The record is from Ensembl. NCBI's taxonomy places the organism in Eukaryota, Metazoa, Chordata, Actinopteri, Siluriformes, Ictaluridae.
UUUCUCUAUGCAUGUUUAUUUUUCUCUAUGCAUGUUUAUGUUUUCUCUAUGCAUGUUUAUAUUUUCUCUAUGCAUGUUUAUGUUUUCUCUAUGCAUGUUUAUAUUUUCUCUAUGCAUGUUUUCUCUAUGCAUGUUUGUUUUCUCUAUGCAUGUUUAUAUUUUCUCUAUGCAUGUUUAUAUUUUCUCUAUGCAUGUUUAUAUUUUCUCUAUGCAUGUUUGUUUUCUCUAUGCAUGUUUAUGUUUUCUCUAUGCAUGUUUAUGUUUUCUCUAUGCAUGUUUAUAUUUCUCUCUAUGUAUGUUUAUGUUUUCUCUAUGCAUGUUUAUGUUUUCUCUAUGCAUGUUUAUAUUUUCUCUAUGCAUGUUUAUGUUUUCUCUAUGCAUGUUUAUGUUUUCUCUAUGCAUGUUUAUAUUUUCUCUAUGCAUGUUUGUUUUCUCUAUGCAUGUUUAUAUUUUCUCUAUGCAUGUUUAUAUUUUCUCUAUGCAUGUUAAUUUUAUAUAUGCAUGUUUAUGGUUUCUCUAUACCUGUUUAUAUUUUCUCUAUGCAUGUUUGUUUUCUCUAUGCAUGUUUAUAUUUUCUCUAUGCAUGUUUAUAUUUUCUCGAUGCAUGUUUAUAUUUUCUCUAUGCAUGUUUAUGUUUUCUCUAUGCAUGUUUAUGUUUUCUCUAUGCAUGUU